UUUUCAAUUGGAGGUCUAAGUUGGGUGUUGAUGAUUGUUUUCCUUAAUUUUGGUACUUAUUAUAUCUGCCCUGAUGUGGGUUUGAAUGUUGGUAACUUGGUAAUGGAAAGUGGCUUCCUUUUGGAUUAAAGGUUCAUUAAAGGUUUCAAGCUUUGGAACACAAAUAGCCCUCUUCGAUAUAUACCAAAUCUUAAAAGAAGGAAUCUUUAGAUCUCAGGUUUACAUUCCACCUAGAUAUAUAAACCCAUUAUCAGGUUCAGCCUCAAUUUUCCCCUUUCUCCUUGCUCUCUCUACCGCUUCGUUCUCCCUCUUGAGUAGCUUCUUCAACGAUUUGAAAAACAAAGAUCACAAUCUGUUCCCCCCACUUAGUGUGCUGUAUCAAUAUCUGAUGCUGCAAAUAUAGUUAAAGAAAGAUGAUCUGCAGCCACUAUGAUAUCUAUACCUGAUAAGCCAUGUUCGAAAACCAAGUGCUUUCUCUUCCAUCUCCUAUAGAUGAGGUCUGUGAUUUUAUUAAUCUUCGACAUUACAAAAGCAAUACAGCAGAUGGUUAUGCAGAAGGUGAGGCAGCGCUGGGUCUCUAUGCGGAGCCUAGGCCACCGGUUUCCAUUUAAAACCUAAAAACCCAUAAAGCAAAAUGUAAUGCAUACUGGGAGUAGUUGCAGACACAAAGAAUAGCUUGGUCGGAAUUGUCCCUCCAAUUGUCCGCUUCAUGUGGCAGCUACUGAAGUACUCUCUCUCAUAUCUGAACUCUCAAUACUGCAGAAGAGGGAAGAAGGGAAAGAGGAAACGAGAGGAGACAGAGAUAUUGAGGAGGUUUUGAUCUGGGUUUUGCUGACGGGACGAACAAAGAUGCAGAGAGGAAGGAAAAGAAGAUGAAGAGGGAGAGCCUUCAGCAAUUAGAUAUGAUCUGAUUGAAAUUUCAAGGUACGAUUUUCACAUUGAAUCCUGUCAAUUGUAUGAUUUUCGAUGUGAGAAUAAUUGAUUGGUUAGCUAUCAAGAAGUAUAUGUAUAAGUUGGAAAAUC
Molecule: long non-coding RNA, 1023 nt
Organism: Rosa chinensis
Lineage: Eukaryota; Viridiplantae; Streptophyta; Magnoliopsida; Rosales; Rosaceae
Exons: 3
Source: RefSeq, a predicted model, not a curated record